CCUACGGGAGGCAGCAGUGAGGAAUAUUGGUCAAUGGUCGAGAGACUGAACCAGCCAAGUAGCGUGAGGGACGACUGCCCUAUGGGUUGUAAACCUCUUUUGUUUGGGAAUAAAGUGCCGCACGUGUUGCGGUUUUGUAUGUACCAUACGAAUAAGCAUCGGCUAAUUCCGUGCCAGCAGCCGCGGUAAU
RNAcentral lists this ribosomal RNA (190 nucleotides) under uncultured rumen bacterium. RNAcentral's name for it is "partial 16S ribosomal RNA". It matches the Rfam family "Bacterial small subunit ribosomal RNA", at positions 338 to 524 of the family's 1533-position model. The record is from RNAcentral.